AUGUCCCCAGCCAGCUUGUCGCUGCUUGGGUAUCUCAGCCAAGUGAUCAGGCUGGUCCCGGGGUCCAAAGUUCACCGCACCGGCGAAGACCCGUACGGUGAGGUCAAGAUCUGCCCAACCAGUCAAGGAUGGCGUGAGGUGAGCAGUCAACUCACGCACAUGGCAAGAACCCCGUCGGGUAUGAAUUAUUCCGUUCACUCCAUCCCGGCCGGCACCACAGAUCCCCUUCCCUGCUCGCCCAGAACAUGUGGCAACCUGAGCAUAGCCUACCCAUUCUGGCUGGAGGAGGACGGCCAGCCGCCAUGCGGUGCCCCGUCCUUCCAGCUCAACUGCAACGCCAGCCAAGCUCUCCUCAGCCGCUCCAUGUUCGGGAGCUACCAAGUCGUCCAAGUCUUCGCCGAGAACUCCUCCUUCGUCGCCGUGGACAACAACCUCCCGCUCGACGACGGCUGCCCCAAGUUUUGGUUCAACAUCUCGCUAGGUCUCGGGCUGAGUCCGUUCGUCGUCAGCAGCAAGAACAUGGAGCUGCUCUCCUUCUACCGACUUGGCGGCGAGUAUGGCAGCCACCGCAAACUGGCCGGUCUCCCGCCGGCCUGCCGUCUCUCGGUCGUGCCGGUUCUUGGUGUUCCGGACGGCGACAGUUACGUCUCGAGCAUGAGACAGGGGUUCCUGCUUGAGUGGACGGUACCGUCAGACGUGUGCCCCAAGUGCGAGGCAAGCGGCGGGCAGUGCAGGUAUGCCAACGACGGCACCGGGUUUUCCUGCAGCUGCGACGACGGCCUGCGCCCCGACAAGUGCGGUGAGUCCAGAAAAUUAGCUAGCUCUGCUCUCCAUUUAUAUCUGUAA
RNAcentral lists this ribosomal RNA (846 nucleotides) under Triticum aestivum (bread wheat). RNAcentral's name for it is "partial small subunit ribosomal RNA". The record is from RNAcentral. Lineage: Eukaryota; Viridiplantae; Streptophyta; Magnoliopsida; Poales; Poaceae.